CGAGGCGUAGGAGUAACCACCAUGCCCAGCACUGUUACAGAGGCUCACUGACAGACCUGAGUAACUGAAAUGUAAAGUACUAUGAACAAGUUGCUGAGCCUGAGGACCCACUCCUCUGACUUUCUGUGCUACUGCUGUAGCGUAUGUAUUCCCACACCCCCAAAAUAAAUGAAAUGUAUUAAAAAGCCUUUAUUAUUUUGGGAAAGUAAGGUAAACAGUUUUCCUACAGUUUUCCACCCAGCACAAAAGCAGUCAAACAAAAUAAACUGGUAACUUUAGCCCUUGAUGGCAGAAGGUAUAUAGCAAGUUCAAGGCCAGCAUGCAAUACUCGAGACUCCUCUCAAAACAAAGCGGACAGGAGCUUGUAAAGGACCCAGACUGGAUUCCCAGCAUUCACUUUGGUCAACUUAGAGGCACCUGCACUCAGACACAUACACAGAGAUACAAAUCUUAAACACUGAGGACAUGAGGCUAUGGCAGAGCACUUAGCGUGCAUACAGCCCUAGGUUUAAUCUCCAUUACCAUAAUUUUAAAAGGUGGGGUUCCCUGUGGCAGUAGUACAGCUUUUGAUACUUUGGAUUGCUUAUGAUUUCCCAAAAGGCCUUUUACUUUUCUCUCUGUUUACUUAUUUUGGACCCGUACUAUGGAAGCUGAUAAACAUAAAUUUCAAAGAUUCCUGACUGCUGAUGCGGCCUUAGUGGUGACAGUAUUUGCACCAAUCACGUUCCCUCCUGCAUCUGUGCUGCUUUUCAAGCAGAGGAGAAAUGGAAUGCACAGCCUCAUUGCUACAGGCCAUCUGUUUUCAGUGGAUCCAGACAGGAUGGUCAUAAAGAGAGU
This 837-nucleotide long non-coding RNA is filed under the name Rattus norvegicus (Norway rat). RNAcentral's name for it is "long non-coding RNA NONRATT004553". The record is from RNAcentral. Lineage: Eukaryota; Metazoa; Chordata; Mammalia; Rodentia; Muridae.